AUGAAGGCAGUGAGAGACACCUGACUAAAAGGUGGCCGACGGGGCAAUAUCACAAAACGCCAAUGUGUGAUAGAAACUCUCAGGCAAAAGAAUUGCUGCUGGAUG
RNAcentral lists this non-coding RNA (105 nucleotides) under Peptoclostridium litorale. RNAcentral describes it as "Clostridium litorale Glycine sequence". It matches the Rfam family "Glycine riboswitch aptamer". Rfam says of the family: This family represents the bacterial glycine riboswitch. The record is from RNAcentral. RNAcentral also lists the same sequence under 1 other name. Lineage: Bacteria; Bacillati; Bacillota; Clostridia; Peptostreptococcales; Peptoclostridiaceae.